GUGAAGAUGCAGUGUACCCGCGGCAAGACGGAAAGACCCCGUGAACCUUUACUAUAGCUUGACACUGAACAUUGAGCCUUGAUGUGUAGGAUAGGUGGGAGGCUUUGAAGCGUGGACGCCAGUCUGCGUGGAGCCGACCUUGAAAUACCACCCUUUAAUGUUUGAUGUUCUAACGUGGACCCGUAAUCCGGGUUGCGGACAGUGUCUGGUGGGUAGUUUGACUGGGGCGGUCUCCUCCUAAAGAGUAACGGAGGAGCACGAAGGUUGGCUAAUCCUGGUCGGACAUCAGGAGGUUAGUGCAAUGGCAUAAGCCAGCUUGACUGCGAGCGUGACGGCGCGAGCAGGUGCGAAAGCAGGUCAUAGUGAUCCGGUGGUUCUGAAUGGAAGGGCCAUCGCUCAACGGAUAAAAGGUACUCCGGGGAUAACAGGCUGAUACCGCCCAAGAGUUCAUAUCGACGGCGGUGUUUGGCACCUCGAUGUCGGCUCAUCACAUCCUGGGGCUGAAGUAGGUCCCAAGGGUAUGGCUGUUCGCCAUUUAAAGUGGUACGCGAGCUGGGUUUAGAACGUCGUGAGACAGUUCGGUCCCUAUCUGCCGUGGGCGCUGGAGAACUGAGGGGGGCUGCUCCUAGUACGAGAGGACCGGAGUGGACGCAUCACUGGUGUUCGGGUUGUCAUGCCAAUGGCACUGCCCGGUAGCUAAAUGCGGAAGAGAUAAGUGCUGAAAGCAUCUAAGCACGAAACUUGCCCCGA
Molecule: ribosomal RNA, 750 nt
Filed under: Salmonella enterica subsp. enterica serovar Infantis
Lineage: Bacteria; Pseudomonadati; Pseudomonadota; Gammaproteobacteria; Enterobacterales; Enterobacteriaceae
Also listed under: 1 other name
Description: partial 23S ribosomal RNA
Rfam family: Bacterial large subunit ribosomal RNA
Source: RNAcentral